UACGGGGGGGGCAAGCGUUGUUCGGAAUUACUGGGCGUAAAGGGUCUGUAGGUGGCUUGCUAAGUCAGACGUGAAAUCCCUCAGCUUAACUGGGGAACUGCGUCUGAGACUGGCGAGCUUGAGGGCAGGAGAGGAACGCGGAAUUCCAGGUGUAGCGGUGAAAUGCGUAGAUAUCUGGAGGAACACCGGUGGCGAAGGCAGCUCGCUGGAACGGUACUGACGCUGAGGCGCGAAAGCUAGGGGAGCGAACUGG
RNAcentral lists this ribosomal RNA (253 nucleotides) under uncultured bacterium. Its description in RNAcentral is "partial 16S ribosomal RNA". It matches the Rfam family "Bacterial small subunit ribosomal RNA", at positions 524 to 776 of the family's 1533-position model. The record is from RNAcentral.